AACUUAUUCCUAUUAAACAGAAACACAAAGACCGUUUUUAAUAGACGGUAGUCUCAUAUUUCUCAAAAACUUGUUGCUUAUAAAAGGGUUCUCAUAGUUGAUAGUAGUGCAGAACACAAGGUGGCUAAAAAAGUUUGACACCAAAUUAAGAAAUUAUGGAGGAAGGCAACAGCUCAUUCAAAUUUUCAGUCAUUUUUGUAAUUAAAUCAGGUAAUAAAAAGAAAUCAGAUCUUGCAAAACUACAAAAGGAGCAUGAUGAGAAAAUGGAAGCCAUCAAAGAGCUCAAGAAAAAGAGAGAAGAAAUGAAGCUUCAAUUGUCAAAGAAGAAUAUUUCUGAGGAAAAGAAAGAGGCUUUCAGAAAAUUGACCGAUAAAUAUCAAAAAAUGAAAGAUGAAUAUAAUUCCCUUUUGGGUUACCAAUCAAAGGGAAAAGAGUAGUAUCUUACUAAUAAUAUAUUUUCCACCGGUUCGUAAUGUAUCGUUUUAUAUUAUAAUUAUUAUGUUAUAUUGUAUUGUAUUUUCGAAUCAAUAUU
Molecule: long non-coding RNA, 532 nt
Organism: Solanum dulcamara
Lineage: Eukaryota; Viridiplantae; Streptophyta; Magnoliopsida; Solanales; Solanaceae
Exons: 3
Source: RefSeq, a predicted model, not a curated record